This 430-nucleotide ribosomal RNA is filed under the name bacterium. RNAcentral's name for it is "partial 16S ribosomal RNA". It matches the Rfam family "Bacterial small subunit ribosomal RNA", at positions 355 to 776 of the family's 1533-position model. The record is from RNAcentral.
UGGGGAAUAUUGGACAAUGGGCGCAAGCCUGAUCCAGCCAUGCCGCGUGUGUGAAGAAGGCCUUUUGGUUGUAAAGCACUUUAAGCGAGGAGGAGGCUACUUGGAUUAAUACUCUAGGAUAGUGGACGUUAGUCGCAGAAUAAGCACCGGCUAACUCUGUGCCAGCAGCCGCGGUAAUACAGAGGGUGCGAGCGUUAAUCGGAUUUACUGGGCGUAAAGCGUGCGUAGGCGGCUUUUUAAGUCGGAUGUGAAAUCCCUGAGCUUAACUUAGGAAUUGCAUUCGAUACUGGGAAGCUAGAGUAUGGGAGAGGAUGGUAGAAUUCCAGGUGUAGCGGUGAAAUGCGUAGAGAUCUGGAGGAAUACCGAUGGCGAAGGCAGCCAUCUGGCCUAAUACUGACGCUGAGGUACGAAAGCAUGGGGAGCAAACAGG